AUAUGCAGCCACACCCCCCUGAGCACGCCCCAUCUCAUGUGAUCUGGGAAGCUAAGCAGGGUCGGGCCCGGUCAGUGCUUGGAUGGGAGACCAGCUGGUCCAGAGAGGUUCUCCUGCCCCUC
Molecule: non-coding RNA, 122 nt
Organism: Columba livia (rock pigeon)
Lineage: Eukaryota; Metazoa; Chordata; Aves; Columbiformes; Columbidae
Source: Rfam